UACGUAGGGGGCGAGCGUUAUCCGGAAUUACUGGGCGUAAAGGGCUCGUAGGCUGUUGUACAAGUCUGUCGUUUAAGAUUACGGCUCAACCGUAGGAAUGCGAUGGAAACUGUAUGACUAGGGUGCAGGAGAGGUAAGCGGAAUUCCCGGUGUAGCGGUGGAAUGCGUAGAUAUCGGGAGGAACACCGGUGGCGAAGGCGGCUUACUGGUCUGUAACCGACGCUGAGGAGCGAAAGCCAGGGUAG
RNAcentral lists this ribosomal RNA (245 nucleotides) under uncultured Thermoanaerobacteraceae bacterium. Its description in RNAcentral is "partial 16S ribosomal RNA". It matches the Rfam family "Bacterial small subunit ribosomal RNA", at positions 524 to 768 of the family's 1533-position model. Lineage: Bacteria; Bacillati; Bacillota; Clostridia; Thermoanaerobacterales; Thermoanaerobacteraceae. The record is from RNAcentral.